Molecule: ribosomal RNA, 645 nt
Filed under: Microbacterium sp. 32AP14
Lineage: Bacteria; Bacillati; Actinomycetota; Actinomycetes; Micrococcales; Microbacteriaceae
Description: bacterial SSU rRNA
Rfam family: Bacterial small subunit ribosomal RNA
Source: RNAcentral
GAUCGCAUGGUCGUGUUUGGAAAGAUUUUUCGGUCUGGGAUGGGCUCGCGGCCUAUCAGCUUGUUGGUGAGGUAAUGGCUCACCAAGGCGUCGACGGGUAGCCGGCCUGAGAGGGUGACCGGCCACACUGGGACUGAGACACGGCCCAGACUCCUACGGGAGGCAGCAGUGGGGAAUAUUGCACAAUGGGCGAAAGCCUGAUGCAGCAACGCCGCGUGAGGGAUGACGGCCUUCGGGUUGUAAACCUCUUUUAGCAGGGAAGAAGCGAAAGUGACGGUACCUGCAGAAAAAGCGCCGGCUAACUACGUGCCAGCAGCCGCGGUAAUACGUAGGGCGCAAGCGUUAUCCGGAAUUAUUGGGCGUAAAGAGCUCGUAGGCGGUUUGUCGCGUCUGCUGUGAAAUCCCGAGGCUCAACCUCGGGCCUGCAGUGGGUACGGGCAGACUAGAGUGCGGUAGGGGAGAUUGGAAUUCCUGGUGUAGCGGUGGAAUGCGCAGAUAUCAGGAGGAACACCGAUGGCGAAGGCAGAUCUCUGGGCCGUAACUGACGCUGAGGAGCGAAAGGGUGGGGAGCAAACAGGCUUAGAUACCCUGGUAGUCCACCCCGUAAACGUUGGGAACUAGUUGUGGGGGACCAUUCCACGGUUU